Molecule: unclassified non-coding RNA, 234 nt
Filed under: Ambisporaceae sp.
Lineage: Eukaryota; Fungi; Glomeromycota; Glomeromycetes; Archaeosporales; Ambisporaceae
Description: partial contains 5.8S ribosomal RNA and internal transcribed spacer 2
Rfam family: 5.8S ribosomal RNA (bases 1-71)
Source: RNAcentral
GUGAAUCAUCGAAUUUUUGAACGCAUAUUGCACUCCCCGGCAUUCCGGGGAGUAUGCCUGUUUCAGCAUCAGAAUCAUCCUCGAGCCCACGAGACGGACUCCUAUCUCGUAUGCCGUCUUCUGCUUGAAAAAAAAAACUAAAAUCCAAGACAAGCUCAUUUUCUUGGGUUGCGUGAUACUUUCAGUUACCUCGUAACUUAACCAGGAAUAAUGGGGCGUGUUAUGAAUUUUGCA